This 21692-nucleotide long non-coding RNA is filed under the name Citrus sinensis (sweet orange). Its description in RNAcentral is "long non-coding RNA (CSIN_LNC000725)". Lineage: Eukaryota; Viridiplantae; Streptophyta; Magnoliopsida; Sapindales; Rutaceae. The record is from RNAcentral.
ACUGCGCACUUUAUUUUAUAAUAGCUUGGCUGACAGGCUGCUCUUGCUUACUCUCGUGCGGCUAUCGAUCUAAAAUGAGGCACCAGUAUAUGUUAAAAGACAGCCCUUGCGGGGAUUGCUUGGUUCAUGUUUUCUGCGAGUUGUGCGCCUUGUGUCAAGAAUAUCGCGAGCUCAAAUCCCGUGGAUUCGACAUGUCUCUUGGUAAUUAAUUUAAUUCUCUGAUGAUGACCCUUUAUUAAAUUAUUAAAUCAUUUUUUAAAUUAGUUUCCUGUCUGAAUUUUAUUUGGCUGUGUGCAAAACUAUCUUACAAAAUUUUAUACAUUUUUUUUUUUAAUUUAUAUGCAUAGGAUGGCAAGGAAAUUUGGAGAAACAAAAUAAGGGAUUGGCAAUGGCUUCAACGGCUCCGGUGGUGGAAGGUGGCAUGACAAGAUAAAGUGGAUGAUCUUCAGAUAUACAAAAUAAAUUCAUCUACUUAAUUUUAUACAAUUAGUAAAUAUGUGAACCGAAUAAUUAUAUGCUGUUACUUAAUAAUUGAGCUCUUUUAGAUCUCACUCUCAACGCUGGGCGUUUGAAAUUUGAGAUUUUUAAUUUUCUUUUAUGUACCUUUUCUGUUUAAAACUCUGAUCUUCCAAUUAGCAUUGUGCCGUGUUAAUUACGUAGUCAGUCAAGCAUAAACGCAACUACUGUUUCUUUAAAGAAAAGAAAGCAAAUGGGUUGGUCCCGGCAUUGCAAACACAAUGUGCUUUAGGUAGUCCCAUAUGGGGCUAAAUGGCUGUUCUAGGCUAAACCCAAUUAAGACUUCGUUGGGUCUACUCGAGGGGAAACCUUAUUAUUAUUAUUAUUAUUAUUAGGCUUUGGCUAAGUUAUGUUAAACGUAACUUACGCCAGAUACAGCAACAAUGCUAGUGAUGGGACUUGUCACUGUUGCUGUGCCUGGCGUAAGUUACGUUUAACGUAACUUAGCCGACUCCUUAUUAUUAUUAUUCUUCCUCACGUGUGUGAUUCUAACUCAGACAUGUUGUGCAUUUGAAAAAAUUACAUUAGGCUAACACACACCUAUGACGAUGAAUGCCAAAUGACUUCCAAACUAACGGCAACUGACUUGAAAUAUAAAUAAAUAAACAAUUGUCUCAUAGGCUUAAGUAAUUGGUUUUAAGUAUAUUUAUUUGGCUGGCCAUUUCAAUUUGAAUACUAGGGAGUAUGAGGUUAAAAAUUAAUUUUAAAUUUAUCCAUACCCUUUAUAUUUUAAUAUAUAAUAUACUUUGUCAAUAAUGUAAAUGUUAAAAUUUUAAUUUUUAAUUAAUUAUAACUGAUCCCCAAUGAGGACGAUAUAUUGUAGUAAAGACAAGUAAGAAGAAUCUUAUAGAUAUAAAGAAUCAAUCACCACUUCAUGACAAAUUUUCUUCAUCACUAUCAUAAUUAUUAUCAAGUACGUAGUUGUAUGCUUUACUUCUUAAAAGCCGGUGUAUUAUUGUAUAAAGUCUAUUUUACUCAAUUUCAAAUUAAGACAAACAAUCGAUAAAGUUUUUCACACAUACUGUCAAAAUCAUAAUUAGCUUAUUAUUCAAACAAUUUUUUUGGGAAUAAAUAAUGAUUGGAAUUAAAUGUUUGUCGUAUUUCAAUCCGUUGAUCGAGGCCCUUCAGCAUGCUUAACUACCAAAAUUUAAAAUAAAAGUUGCCAUAUUUCUUAAAAAAUCAAUUGGUGAGUAGGUAACCAACAUUAAGCAAUUUAACUUCAUCCUUCUGUGGUCCUCAGGGUGGCGGCUGGCCCAUAAGGCUAACACAAUCAAUAGCUUUACUUUUAUUCUUCUUGAAAGCCGGUAAUACAGCAUCCGCAAUGUUAACACCUUUGGAACCAUUGGGUGAUGCAGUUUUGAUGAAAAGGAUGGUAACAGAAUGAAUGGAGGAUCAUCAAUGCUGAUCCAGCCACAGACUUGUCGAAACAAAUACCACAUCUUUCUUCAUCACUAGAGUUGUCACUCACUAUAUAUUUCAGGCUCCCCAAAAGCUCAACAGCUUGCUCCCUCUCUACAAUUAUCACACGGAUAACAUGUACCUCGACAACAAACAGCACCGACUUGUUAGCUACAGUCCUGGAAUUCUCAGCAAUAAUUUCACGACAUUGUGAUAUUGUCUCAUCGCAUGUUUUGCAUCAACUGUUAAAUCUUCAUCUCCGAAAACACACCGCAAAUAAUACCAUCACAAGAUGAUGAUGACUUAAUAACGCCUCCAUAUCAUCAAUCUGGAUGUAUAUAAUUUCCCCAGCUGAUCAUGGGCAUCUCCAUGCUGUCAAAUACUCUCACUUUAUUUCCAAAUGUUGUUGCGGUUCACAAUAACAGUUGGUCGGAAUGAGGACGAACAUAAAACUUAAUUGAAGAUUUUGCUCGCCAUUAAUGAACAACACUUUGUGUCUUUUUUAUACUCACGUUAUAAUCUGAUGUCAACUCUGUGUUGAUGGGUGUGCAAGGUUACAACGGUUUAAGAUAAUAUGAAUUUUUAUGGUUUUCAAGGGUUUGGUUUUUUUUUUUUUUGGUAAUUAAGCGUCGUUAUUAGUUAUGUAUUUUAAAUCCUAAUAUCAUUAGGAUUGAUUUCCAAUCUUAUAAUCCGUUUCGUGAAAGAAAAGAAAGAUUAAUUCAAUAAUACUACUUUCUUAAUUCUAAUACUCUAUGCGAAGGAUAUAAAAUGGGGAAACUUCUAUAUCCAAAUAGCCAUGGCCAUGGGUGUUUGGCAUUUACAUCAACUUUUCAAAUAAUGGUUAAUUUCAUCUCUCCAGAAGUGAUGCUUGAAAGUGAUUUUUCCUUUGAAGGUUAGGGUUUAUGUAUCAUGCUUACAAACAGAACAACCCAAAAAAUCGCUUACAGAGUGAAGAAUAAAAGAAAAGUUAAAAAAAUUAAUACUAGAUGGGUUUCAGUUUAUACAAGCUUAAGCAUGUACCUGUAACACAGAGAAAGGACAUGAAAUUGAGAUCAUAGUAGUUAUUGUAACACCUCAAUCCGAAAUCUAAGCGCAAAUAUGUCCACAACUCACAUAUGAAUUUAAAAUAACUCUUUACAACCGAUAAAUUUCGAGCCUCAAAUAAAAAAGCCAGCGGGAUAACUUAAAAACUUAACCAAACCAUCUACUAUCCUCAAUUCAAAUCCAUCUUCUCACUCAUCACGAAUCAAUCCUGACUUCUGAAAACGGAAUCAUAAUAAACUAUAAUGAGUAUAAAAUUUAGUAAGUAAACUAGUUUUUCUUAUACGAAAGUACAUACAUACUUAUACAUAAUGCAGAUGGAUGAUAUGCCAUGAUCUUUUAGAAAUAUUGUAAAAUAAUUUCAUAAAAAUCUCUUUCUAUCGCUUUCAAACUUUUUCAUUUUCUUUCGAUGAAAUACGUAUCCUGCAAUGUGGCACUUUGUGCUGUGCGUGACACUUUGCACCAUGCGUGGCACUUUACAGUGCUCUGUCCCUCAAGAGUUGGCCCCCGCAUAGUCUCAAGAGGUGGCUCCCACACAACUUCAAGAGGUGGCCCCCAAUGCAAAAUUUGAUAAAACAGAAAUUUCGUUUGCUAAAAUCCAUUUUCUCGUUCAUAGAAAACUCAAUGUAUUUUCGUGCUCAUGCCAAUGAACCAUCACACAUACAUAUGCCCAUGUACAUAAUCAUGCUCAACACAUAACAACACAUCACAUAAACAUAUGGGCAAAGACAUAUAGAUCCAUAUUCGUACAUAUCAAAAUAAGCUUUUCACACAAGUCAAACAUAUAUCUUGUUUAUUGUGAUUCGUUUUGAAGUCUAGUUUACUUACCUCUUGGCAUCCUCAUGUAACAAAUGCGUACUGAUACCAUCAACCUAAAAUCAUCAAUAAAUUCUCAUAAGAUAUAAUCAAAUCUCAAUCAUAAACUCUAAUGUCCUCAAAUAUCUCAAUUUAAACAACUCUUAAGCUCAACCUCAAAUGUCCUCAAUAAUCGACCCUUAAAACAUAACAGUUCAUACUUCUCCGAUUUUUAAUAAAUUAUUCUCUUAUUGGAAGAAUCUCAAAUUUUACAGACCAUAUGCUGACACAUUGAAAGUUCAUUGAUAAAAGUUUCAUAGCAUAAUUCCUUCCAAAACGAUUGAAAAUAAUUCACGUUUCAGACAUCAUCAAUAUUGUCAAACAGUUUUCUGUUUUGAACACACUUAUUUUAAAAAUACAAAACAAUUUAUUUAUUUAUCAUAAAAUCAUGAAAAUUUCCAGAAUCGUACUAGACAUAUAUAAAAAUCAUUGGUCCAAAUUUCAUAAUUUUUGAAGAAGUCUAGAUAUGGUAGAAAUAAUUUCGUAAUUCACUGAAAUCAUAAAUUUCUAGGUUUUCAGACUUGAUUUGAAAAAUCAUAAUUAAUUGAAAUCUUAUCCGAUUAACUUGAAACAAGUUUCAAAACAUAUUAGACGAUGUCUAGUUUAACAUACCUAAAAAUCAGAAUCAAAAUCAAUUUGUACAAAUUACUAUGAUUUUCGUAAUAAUUCACUGUCAGCAUAUUUAUGUAAAAUCUUUUAUUUCUACUUCUAUUACAAUCAUGCUUCUCCACAACAAUUUAAUAGAAACCAAUAAUUAAAACGUACCUCCAAAACUUCUCCCAACAAUAACAACUUGAUCCCAUGUGUUGACUAUGGCAAAAACUAAGAAGAAGAAGUUUCUUCUUCUCUUUUUUCUUUUUUUUUUCUCUCUUGUCUCUCCAUCUCUCUUUUUUAACCGAUCUCUCUUUUUCUCUCUCUUAUAAUGAAAAAGACAUAUCGUUUUAUUUAUACUAGGGUAAAAAGGAUCACUAAAAAUUAAAAAAACUUAAAUACCCUUAGGAGAUUUGGUGUAUUACAGUUAUUAUAUUGACUGCAUCAUAAUUGUUGAAUGAAUUGGUGAUUAAAACCACUGGAUCUGUUUAAAGACAAAGUACGAAAAUAUAUUCGUAUUUAAUUCAAGGCCUUCUAUCAGGCACAUAACUAGCAUACUAAAAAAAAUCUCAACUUCCAAUACUAAUAUCUCAUAUUCUCAUUCUCUAACAAGCUAAGCAUUGAAACUGGUGAAGCAUACGCAUAUUCACAAAUCAUUCAGGUACUAGCCAAGUAAAAAGCAUGGAACAAUUAUCUUAGAAUAUAUUGACUGUCUUUUUUAAAAAUUUACAUGAAUCAAUUCAGCCUCAUAUUUCAUAUCAUCAUGAGAAUGAACUCACCCAAUAUUGCUUGCUGACAGACAAUUUAGUCAUUUGACAGUAGGGAUGGUAAAAUGUGGCUUGGGCUGGGCGUCUCCAAGCCUAGGCCCAAGUCCAACACUUAUACUUUUUUAAAAUGGACUUGGUCAGAUUUAAGCUUUCAAUUAUUUUAAACUUGAAAUGAAUUAAUGAUCAACAAAUUAUUAUAAUCAAUAAUAAAUUAAAGAAAAUAAUAUUUUAAAAUAAAAUAAUAAAUAAAGAAAAUGAAGAAAGUAAAAGCUUAGAGAAUUAAUUUUUUAAUAUUAGAUUUUUUUAAUUCAAACACCCCCUUAGUUAAUUAACACUUAAGAUAGAGUUUAGUAUUAUAAUUUUAGAUUUUUUAAGUCAUUAUUGGUUUAUCAAUUAGGGUUUAAGUUUUAUUUUUUAUUUUUAUUAUUUUUAGAUUUUAAUUUAUUAUAGUUUAUGAAUUUAUUUUUUAAAAAAUAGAGGGUUGGACCUGGUCCAAAAUUUUUUUUUUCUUAAACUCUUGUCCAAACCCUCCUCCCGUGGAGGGUCAAACCAAAAACAUGUGGGCUUGGAUUAGGCCAGCCCAGGCACUUUGGCCCACCCUAUUUGGCAGGACCACAAUGCUGAUAAAGAUUGAUAACAACCGGUGUACUUAGGAAAUUGAUCAAUUAAAUUAAUGACAUAAUAAAAGAUUUUACAAAUAGAAACAGACUAUAUAUACGAGAAAUGAUUUAGUAGGUGACUGUGCUUACCAUAUGGUGAAUGAGAGUGUCAUAUGACAUUGUCUCGUUAAUCUACGAUUUUGGUACUAUUCAUAAGAAGUCAAGAUUCUGCUACAUGUCCAGGUGUCAAGGAAAACCGAGUUCAUGCCCGAUAGUGUUGGCAACCCCAACUUUUAGAAAAUUUAUGAAAUGCAAGAUAAAAUUAAAAAGUAUUUAAGUCUGAAAAAACUUUGAAAUCAUGCAGUUUUUAAGAUUUUCCAAAUUUUUCCACACCUUAAAAUUCAAGACUAAAAAAUUAGUUAUAAGCAUAGUAUAUAUAUAUAUAUAUAUAUAUCGGAUUUAUUAAAAUCUGAAACAAAUUUAUAUGUUGUAAACUGUCUUUUUCAAAGAUUUUACAAAAUUGUCAAAUCUUUUACAAUGUCGUAAAUAUCUUUUGAUAAAAUUGUCACCUUGGACCGAAUUUUAAUCUUUGGGAUUGGAAAUUUUUUGUAUAUAUAUUUUAUAUUGCCCGAGGGGAUGUUGACUAGAAUAGGACAAUCACGACAGGCGCAUAACAAUCAAUAUUUUCUAGACAGAACAAAGGGAUGUGCAGUGUUGGCAAAAUUCACCCAGCCCAUUUUCAGCCAAACCAGUAUGAAAAGAUUGGCGAUUAUAGAUAUUUACCCUCAACGGCAGCCAAUGGCAACUUCUUCAUUCAACACCAAACGGGGUGAAUUAGAAGUCGUGUCUUGGCCUUUGCAAUCAACUGGAUUGUCUACAAACCUCUCUAUUUGUUUGCUCUAUUAUCACACCUUGGGUUUCCUUUGAAUUAAUUGGCCGUGCAUUUACCAGAACCUAUUUUAGUUUUUGCUGGAAGAGUAACGAUUUGCAAAGAUCUUGUACAAAACAUUACAAAUUGCAUUAUUCAACUGAAAAGAUUGAUUCUUUUUUUUUAAUUUUUUAAAAAAUAAUUUUACUGAAGAUGCGUAAAUGAUUUCUAUUGGUGGGAUUCAGACGUUAUGGCUAAUUUCGGAUUAAAAUGUUUCUCUCUCAAUUGAUGGGAUUCUCCUCCUCCUCCCGUGUACAGCCUUAUUUCAAGACAUGUCAAUGGAUUUUCCCGCUACAUAUUCUCUUAACAUUAUACCUAUAUAUGUUGUCGUCUGAUUAAGCUCUAUGCUUUUGAUAAGAUAAGAACCAUAACAUCCUACUGAAUUUUCAUCAGCUUUUCCUAUUUGUUGGGACCACUCAGAAUAAAUAAGUAAAUGAACUCCAUAAUAUAGUUGGUCCACUCUAUCCACUAUAUUCUAGUAUUAUAAAGGAUAAUUUUUAAAAACAUCCCCUGAGGUUUGGACUUGUUGCAAGUAGAUGGCGAGAAUCUGUUUAUUUGUAAAAAAUCUCCUACCGUCAGUUAACUUUAACAUUAACCGUUAGUUGACUGUGCAAAGAUAAUAUUACCCUCAACAACAAUUUGUAGACGGAAAUAAUUAAAAAAAAAUUAAAAUUGUUGGCGCGAAAAGCACAAACCUUAUUUUUUGACAAUUUUAUCCUUGUCAAUUCCAAAAAUUUACAAUAUCAUAGGUAAAGAUUAUAACUAUUUUAUUUUCAAGUUUUUAAUUUUAUCUUUUUUGUAGAAACUUUAAGAAAAUAUCAAUAGUUUAAAGAGAAUUUUUUAAAUUUUUAUUUUUAUCUUUCUUGUAGGAACUUUAAGAAAAUAUCAAUAAUUUAAAGAGGGUAAAAUAAUCAAUAAUUUUAAUUUUUUUUUAGUUAUUUCUGUCUACAAAUUAUUGUUAAGGGUAAUAUUAUUUUUGUACAGUCAACUAACGGUCAAUGUUAAAAUUAACUGACGGUAGGGGGUUUUUUACAAAUAAAUCAAUUCUCGCCAUCUAUUUGCAACAAGCCCAAACCUCAGGGGAGGGUUUUAAAAAUUACCCGUAUUAUAAAUAAUGUGAUAUUUGACCGGCCGGGUACAUACAUAGUAUCGUGCCCUUCAAAGACGAAAUCCAAGAACAGAGAAGAAAAUUCAUAUCAAAUAAUAUACUGAGCUCAAUUUAUUUAGUUACCACAUCUAACGGUGACUUUAGCUUAUGCCAGAAUGUUACAAUAACGGUAAGAGCAAAAUUAAGAAUGAAUAUUUUGUAGGCAGAUCAAGGAGAGUACACAGUUGGCACAACAAGAAGAGGUGAUUUCCUUUGAAGGGUUAACCCAGUAGCUUCGCUCAUGUCCAAAUUCUCCUCAACUGGACCAUCGGGCAAUUUCCAGUCAAACCAGUAUAAAAUGUUGGCAAUCACAUACUCAACUGCAGCUACAGCAAACGAUAUUCCAGGGCAGCUUCUUCUGCCAGAACCAAAAGGGAUGAAUUGGAAAUCUUGACCUUUGUAAUCAAUAGGGCUAUUCUCAAACCUCUCAGGCAAGAACUCUUUAGGUCUGUCCCAUAAUUUGGGGUCCCUUUGAAUUGCCCAUGCAUUUACAAACACUCUAGUUUUGGCUGGAAUAUCAUAACCUCUCAAUUUGACACACUCUCUUGUUUCUCGAGGAAGCAAAAGAGGAGCUGAUGCAUGUAAUCUGAGGGACUCUUUGAUAACACAUUUCAAGUACUCCAUCUGAUCCAAGUCCUUCAUAUCUAUAACUAAUUUCCCUUUCACCACACCUCUAACCUCUUUCUGGGCUCUCUUCAUAAUACUUGGAUUUUUCAAUAAUUCAGCCAUCAUCCAUUCUAACGUUGUCGCAGCAGUGUCAGUUCCUGCCACAAACAUGUCCUGACAAUGCGAAACAUGAAAACAUUAAUUGAUCAGCCAUAUAUAUGAUUAGUGCGUGUGUGUGCAAGUUGGUUCGAGAGAGGAUUAGAAACAGAGGAGCUGAGGUUGGUUGAGACCAUGAGAAUUGCUUUAAGAGUGUCCUGAGUGAGCUCUAUCCCAUCGUUGCCAUCCUUUUGAAGUUGGAGGAGUACAUGGAUAAAAUCCUUUUUAUCAUCAUCAGUUAAUGUUAUCCUGUGCUCUUCAAUCACUUGAUCAACCAAAUCGCCCAAAUCUCUAGCAGUUUUGUGCAAAUGACCAAUGGAACCUGUAAGAAAAUCUAUCCAUUUCAAAGAUGGAUACAGAUCCCCAACACAAGUGCUUGCCAAAAGUAUCGGGUAUUUUUUUGUUAACUCUCCGAACUUGCUCUCUCCACUCCCAUUUUCUUCUUCAUCUUCAACCUUCCUACCAAAAAUGCACCGGGAGGCUAUGUUGUUGGAAACAGCCAGUAUCAUCUCAGAUAAAUUGAUAGUAGAUCCUCCAUGUACGUUAAUACCUGAACGACGGAUUUUAUUAAUCAAACAUGAAACUUCCUCGACUCUAAUAUGUUGAGCUGAUUUCACUCUUUUAUUACUCAACAGUUCGAGAACACAAAUCUUCCGAAGUUGUCUCCAGUACUCCCCAUAUUCAGCAAACCCGAGAUCUUUCCCAUCAUAAAGCAGAAUUUUUGUAGCAAUGGAUCGGGGACGGUUAGAGAAAGCAAUGUCAUGAGUCUUCAUCAUUUCGCUAGCCAACUCAGCCGAUGAAACCACAAGACUCGGAGAAUUGCCAAAGUAAACCAACAUUAUUGGGCCAUAACGGUCGGAAAGGGCUUUCAAAGAGCGAUGAGGGACAUUUUGUAGUAUCUGGUGAAGGUUCCCAAUUAUGGGUAACCGUGGAGGGGAUGGAGGUAAGUUGAGUUUGUUGCUGCUUCUGCUGAGCUUCAGCAAAUGUACAAGUGUUAAGAGGAGGAUAAGAAGAAGAGAGAGAGACAAUGGGUUGUAAAUUUCUGAUGUAUCUGGAAAAGGCUGCAAUUGCUUCAUCAAGACUAAUGGCAGAGCCAUUUCUUUCGGGUUCUGAGUUUUUCUAUGGGGACAGGUUAGUUCAUCAAUUCUCAACUCUUUCAAACCUUCUUAUUAUUGCCCAUUUAUGUAUUUUUAUUAUUAUUAUUAUUUCGAUUUUCGGUACUAGCCCAUGAAAAUUUAAUUUAUUCUUUAACCAUGUGAGCUGAUUCCAACUCAUGCAUUUUGUACCACUUCAAAAGAUUGCAUUAAGUUAACUAGCACCUACGAUAAUUACUGCCAAAUUACUUCCAAACCAACAGUAAUUGAGUUGAAAUAUAUCUAUAAUUUUUCAAUAAUGUAAAUUUUAAUUAGUUGUACGUAAUCUUACAUGAGGACGAUUGGCAUUAUUAUUAUAUAUUUUCAGUAAAGAUACACUUACGUGUUUAAAAUUAGUCAUAAUCGAUCUCCGAUCAAUUUCAUUGCUAUUGCCCUUUUUUAUUAGAAAAUGUCAGCAUUUGAUUUCUUCAUGAACUUUGUCUUUUAGUUAUGGUCCUAUCUGGGAUUGAAAUUAAGUAUCUAUUACAUCUUUAAGUUCUAGUAUUAAAACGAUUGAUAAACAUUAAUUGUUGUAACUUGAAGUUAAGUUGAUUUGAUUUUACACUUGUAUGAUUAAAAAUCUAUUACAUCUUUAUACUUUCUACAUAUUAUUAAUUUUUAUUUUAUAGUUACAGUUUUUUUCUACAGCUUUUCCACAACAGUUGUACCUUAAAAACUAUAAUAUCUCAAUAUCAAAUAUGACCAAUUAAAGAUUCUUUCUCCACCAACAAAGUGUUGGCUCCACUAGCAAUGGAGUCCCCUUAAGUGGUUUGAUUAGGUUUGCUCCCCAAUUCGAGUCGCAGGGAAGUCGCCUUUGUUGGAAGAACAUGUGCCUCCCGGUUCGAGCGGAAACUUUUAGUCUGGGUUGUGGUACGGGUUUAAAGGUGCCUCCCACAGUUGAAGCCCUCUCCAGGAUACCUCGUGGUUAAGACAAAAAAAAAAAAAAUUCUUUCUCCUAAGAGAAAAGAUGCUUUAUAUUUUUAAAUUAUUCUUAAUUACUUGUAACUAACACUCUAGCACAAUUAAUGUGUUUAAAUAAGAAGGUUUAGUAGUAAUCAAUGUGUUUAAAUUUUUUUUUUUCUUGGGAGAUAUCAGUUACCUACUGAUAUCAAUUUAUACCACUUACUUUUACUAUUUUUGUAAUACUUAAUAAUCAUUGCACCAUGAUUUUAUAGUAUUACCCUUAAAUUUAUAUACACUUCCAUUCAUAUUUAUGAUAAUUAAAUAAAUCAUGUAAAUUGAAAUUAAAAAAAAAAGUUAAAUACUAAAAGUCAUAAAUAUCAGUUUCGGUGUGAAUAAAAAAAUUAAUAAUAACAUAUUUUUUCUUGUACUUUUUGUUAUUUUUAAAUAAUUUCUUAUAAUAAAUAUAUAUUUUAUAUUCCUAAGAUCAAGUAUCAAGCAAAUAACCCAUUUACCCUUCUUUCUCUUUAAAAUUUUGGCAUUAAGAAUUGGAUAUUAUGAAAAAAGUAGGGUAAACAAUAUAUAUUAAUUUCAGUAGUAGGAAACUGUUAAUCUUUCUUUUUUUAUUUUCAAAAAUGACUUCAAAUGUUAUAGACACAAAUUUCCCAUAAUAAGAAAUUGAAGAAAACAGAAAGAACAAACGAAUGAACAACUGAUAAGUAGGUUAACUUCAAGAAAUCCAAACCUCCCAAUAGAUAAUAUUGGUACUUUGAGUAUCAACACAUCUAAGGAUCCAUUUGGGAUUGAGGUUGGACAAGUUACAAUGUUUGGUAAACACUAACUACUGUAGUUUGGAAGCUAUAUUGAUAUGGUUUUUCACUUUUAUGAUGAAAAUUCUAUUAUAUCUUUAAUAAUUUUGUCAAAAUUAUUAUUUAAAAUUUAUAUUUACUACAUACUAUUAAUUUUUGUUUCAUAAUUACAACUUUUUUCCAUAGCAGCUAUACCUUAAAACUUAGAGCACCUUAAUCACAAAUAAAACCUAAAUACAACUCAUAAUUGUCAAAUAAUAUUUUAUACUAUCAUUAUUAGCACUGUUGCUAUUUUAAAUACUACUUACAAUUACAGACAAAACUUAAAACUAAUGAACAUGAGCCACAAUCCUAAUCUAACGCAAAUAACCACAAUCCUAAUCUAACGCAAAUAAUUAACUAAUUUUAGGUACAUGUUAACCAAAAGCAAUAGGAUAAUUACCACCUAAAAUAAAAUAGUUAUCUCAUGGAGAUCGUUCAUAAAUUUCUUAUAAUUAAUCUCCUAUCGAUUCAAUUACUAUUAAAGUGUUUUUUAAAAUAAAUGUUAACAUGCUUUAUUUAAAGAUGCUUUCCAGAUGAGAGGGAAAGAUGCUUUAUGUUUUCGGUUUUCACUCGUCCUAAGAUGGAGCGUGAUCAUAUCAUAUUUUCUAUCUAAAUUUGAAGCUUUCAAAUCCUAAAUCGGUAAUGGCUAUCUUAGAGUUGUUCUAAGGUAAAGUAUAAAUUAUAACCACAUUCGCAAAGUGAUAAAUAAUUAAAAAAAAAUUAUACAAUCGUAUGAUUAUUGUUGUUGUCAUCGUAAAUUGUCUAUCACUUGCUGGAGAAUGUUGAAAUGAAGGAAAAAUGACAAGAAAGUUAUAUAUUCCAUCAACUAGAACAUUUUUUUUUUUGGGUGUUAAUUCAAUUGUGCUUCACUCUUGCCAUUGGAUCUUGAAAAACAGAAGCUAAAUGACAAGCAAAUAAUUAAAUCUACAGUAGCUAGGUUUUUUGUGUUUGUUAUUACUAUUAACAUAUUAUUAUUAUUGCUGCAGUUGUUGUUAUCUUAAAUUAUCUGUUGUUUUUUUUUAAGAAUCUUAAAUUAUCUAUUACUUGCUAAAUAUAUAUCGUUGAAAGUAAAAACAAAUGACAAGCAAAUAUUCCAACAGCUGGCAGUUUAAUUUUUUGUUUAUUACUACUAUUAACAUAUUAUUAUUAUUAUUAUUAUUAUUAUUAUUAUUAUUAUUAUUAUUAUUGCUGAUGUCGUUCUUAUCUUAAAUGAUCUGUUAAUUGCUAAAUAAAAUAAAAUCAAAUAUUGCAACAGCCGGCAGUUUUUGUUGUACUUACUGUUAUUAUAUAUUGUUCGAUAUGUAGGUAGGGAAUGCGGAUAAAAAAUUUGAAACGGAUAGAUUAUUUACACUCUAAAAAUUACUUUGAGCACUUUAUUUGUGUACACUCAUUUAUUAAAUUAAAAAAAAUUAAAUUUAUCUUGUAAGCUCUUAAAAAUAGCAAAAAGAAUUCUUAUUUAAACCAUUUAAAUUAAUUUACAACAUCAGUAAAACUAUUCAGCACUCUCAGAAGAAAAUUUUAGCGUAACUUACAACAAUCGAAUUAAGUCAAGUAUUAAACGGUCUUUUUAAAAUAAUUUUACUUAGUAGCUUUAGUUGAUUAAAGAAUUAUCAAAUAUCAAUUUUUACACUCUCAAAAUCUUUAAAAUCAACAAGUAUUUGUGGUGUUCGCGGAUUGGACAUCAAUCUAUAUCUGAUCCACGAUUUUGCAGAUUAUAAAUUUUCAAUCCAUAUGUCUACGGAUAGGAUGCGGAUUUGGCCAAUCCAUAUCCAAUCCACUAUUUGGCGGUUGAUUUGCGAAUAAUUUUUUUUAAUCUUGUCCAAUCUACGAAGUAAUUAAAUUAAAAAAUCUAAUUUAUUUAAAAAAAUUAAAAUUUUUUAAUUUUUAAUUUUGUCCAAUCUACAAAGUAAUUUCAUUUAUUUAAAUUAAUACAUGAAAAUUAACUAAAUUAUGAAUUUAAAUGUUGAAACUUGAGAGUUUUGAUGUAACAGGAAGAAAUUAAGAAACUUGAAGAGCUUGAAAAGCUUGGCAACAAGGUAAGAAAUUAAUCUUAAUUACCUCAACUCCUCAAGCGGUGAAGUGACAUAGUGAUGGCUUGUGCAUACAGUGGGGUAGAGCUUUGGUGUUAUGUGCCAAAAUGUUUUCUUUGGCUUAGAAUUUUUUGUUUUGCUUUUAAAUUUUUAAUGUUUAGGAAGUUAUAUUUGUUUAUUUAAUUAUUCAAAUAUUUAAUUAAUUUUAUUUUAUAUUAUUAUCGAAUAAGAUAUAAUACGGUGUUAAAACACUUUAAUUAUUUAAUUUAUUAAUAAGUAGCAUUGCUACAUUUAUGAGUUUUACUUUUUAUUAAAUAAAUAUAUUUUUUUUACAGAUUCACGAAUUUUUACAGAUUUACAGAAGUAAAUCCAUAUCCAAUCCACCAACUGCGGAUUUUUAAAUUUGCAAUCCAAUCUAAUCCACCAAUCCAUAAAUCGGAUUUCUACAGAUAAGAUUUUUGCAGAUCACACAGAUUGAGUGGAUUAGAUUUAAUUGUGAAUACCCCUAACAAGUAUGGACUUUCAUUGCCCCUCAAUAACGAUUGAAAAGCAAAUCACCAUCUCACAUAAAAAUGAAGAAGACCGAGAAGACGUUGACUGGGUUGAUUGGGUUAGUAGGUUUAGAGUGCUUUUAUUUUCUUAUUUUUAAAUCAUAGAUAAAAAAUAUGAGAAUCUUUGAAAUUCUUUCAGUUUAUUUUAUUUUUUUGAAAAAUCUAAGGCUCACAUAUAUUUUGACCUCAAAAUAAUUUAAAAUAUCAAUUUGUUGCAUGUAUUUUUUAAGAUGUUAGAAAUAAAAGUGUUAAGGCUUUUGCUAAGAAAAGUAAAUUUUGAAUAAUGAGUGUGCUAUAUGAGUAUUCAAAAUUGUAUUGGCACAUAAAUAAAUUGUCCUUAAUAGUAAAUUUAUAAUAAAUUAUUUUAUUAAAAAAGAAUGUUUAGGUAAUUUUUAGAGUGUAAAUAGCCUCACUCGUUGAAAUAUACGGAGGGAGCACGCAAUUCACGUGGUUGCUCUAGUGGGACCAACCCCCAUCAAUCAAAAUUCAGUAUCCCUCUACUAAUUAUAUAUAAAGGCUGAAGGCCAGUGCAGUAUUUCAACAGUGCUUAUUCUUUCUGUUUACAGUCGGUUACUGAAAAUCAUUAGGGUUUAUAAAAAUGUCUCAAAAUAGUAAUAAGGUGGAAACUGUAGUGGAAGUGAGGGCUCCUGCUGCCAAGUUUCAUCAAGUGUUCAGCUGCUGGCCACACAGCCUGGCCAGUAUGAGCCCCCAAAGUAUUCAGGGCUGCGAUUUACUUGAGGGGGAAUGGGGGAAGCCUGGCUGUAUCAUCUGCUGGAGAUACUUUCAUGGUGAGAAUUAAUGUUCACAUCAUGUCACAUAUUCAAUCACUAGCUAUAUAUGACCUUCUAACCAUCUAAUAUGAUUACGUAAAAAUGAAGAAUCAUGCAGUAAUGAAAAUCAAAAUAAUUAAUAUGUGUUGUUUCCAAUCUAGGCAAUCAAUGUAAAUUGGAUUGAUUGUCAAUCAACAUACUCAGUCUCUUACAAAUAUAUCAAUCAUUAGGAUUAAUUUAUGCUAACUAUUUAUCUUGUUUUUCAUGUUUAAUCACUGUACCAUUAAGCCCUUUUGGCUUUUUGUAAUGAUCUAUAAUUUAACAAUUAGAAUAUUCUUGUCAACUUAUAUAGUUCCAACCAAGGUUGCUCAAUACGUACAAUGAUGUGAUAAGGAAGCUCAAUAUAAUUGCAAAAUGAUUUAUUGUUCUCGUGGAAUGAAACACAGAUGGGAGCCCUCAAAUUGCAAAGGAGAUAAUAGAAGCGAUAGAUAAUGAAAACUACAUAACCAAUUACAAAGUGAUUGAAGGAAACCUGUUGGAGUUGUACAAGAGCUUCUCUUCGACUGUUAAAGUGACUCCAAAAGAAAACGAUGAUGGCAGUUUGGUGCACUGGAUUUUUGAAUACGAGAAGCUGAAUGAAGAUGUUCCAGAUCCCACUGGCAAACUUCAAAUGGUAAUUGAUGUUGCCAAAGAUAUUGAUGCCCUUCUCCUUUCUCAGCAGCCGUAGGCCCAGAGAUAAUAAUCAUCAACUCCUCUUUUUAGUUCUUGUUCUAAUAAAUUGUUGUGGCUUUUGUCUUGGAUGUGCGCCUAUUUUAAUUAAUUUGUAAGAAAUUAAAUUCAGAAAAUAAUGGUAAAAGCUUUUUUAAUUUUCUCUUUUUAUUAAGUUUAUUAAGUGUGUUUGUAAAUAGGGAUGGCAAAAUCCCCACGGGGACGGGUACUCUUGGGGAUUUUCCCUAUUCGGGGAGGGUAUAAGGAUAAUUUCAUACCCAAUUUCUUAUUCGGGGAAGGGACGGAGAAAUUUUUUUACCCAAUUUCUUAUUCGGGAAGGGGACGGGGAUGAGGUGGAAUCCCCAUCCCCUACCCAUUUCCCUAUUUUAAUUUUUAAUUUAAUUUAAUUUUUUAAAAUUACUAGUAAAUAAAUAAUAAAAUGUGAAUUAUAAAAUUAUAAGUAUUGGUAAAAAUAAAAAAUACCAAAAUAUUUAUAUUAUUAAACUUUUAGGCCUAAUUAACUAAUUAAAGUCCUAAAUUUUUAUUUAGGACAUUAAAAAGACCGGACAGAUUCUAUUAGCCCAAAACUUUUGUUUUAAUUUUAAUUUCAUUAAAUAUUUUAAACUUAAAUCUAUUUUUUAUUUAUUUUUAGAUGUUAUAAUUGCCCACAGCAAAUCACAAUUUUAAUUUUAAUUUGCUUCGACUUAACUAUUGUGUUGUAAAGGGAAUAAUCCACAUUUAUAAAGUGCCUACGCCACCAUUGAAAAGUUAAUUUUGAAUCUAAAUUUGAUUUUAUUUGUAAUAAUUUUGUAUUAGACUAUUAAUUUGUUCAUGAUAGUUUGUAUCCCUUGCAUGCUGCGUUACUUACUAAUUUAAUGUAUGUGACUUUUGUAAUGGAUAUUAAUGUAAGAUAUAUUUCGAACUUUACUUUUAUUUGAAUUUUUUAUUUUAAUAUGAUUAACUCAAAAUCGAAAACAAAAAAAUGUAUUAGUUAUUUGGGGAUCGGGGACCCUCGGGGAUCCCCUGUUAUUAUUCGGGGAGGGGAUGAGGAUUCUCUAAUUUUGACAGGGAUGGAGAGGGGACGGUGACAUACGCAAGAUAUCGGGGAUGGGUACGGGGAGAUUGGUCCCCUCCCCUCCCCUCCCCAUUGCCAUCCCUAUUUGUAAAUUAAUUUAAACUGUCGGAAUAAAAUUACACAAAUAUUUUGAUUUAUCACUGAAUUUAAAUGCUUUUAGUUUUUUUUUUUGGAUGAUAAACCAUAAUACUUUAUCUUCAUAAAAUAUUAUUUUUUUCGCCAGUCUUUUUUAUAAGAACAAAGUUAUAGUAAUAAUAUUUUUCAUUACUUAUCAUGCUAAUGUCAUAUCACUUGAGACAUCUCUAUGUAGUUUCAAAAUUUAUCUGUGAAUCCCAAAUUAUGGUUGGAGCUAUUUGUAAAAAUUAUUACGAAAUAUAAUCUUCUAAUAAGGACAAUUUAAUUUAAGUCAAUGUAAUAUUAUUACUCUUCUCACCAUUCAAUCCAAUUAUCUUGUCAUAAACCUAAAAUUUCCUCACGAUUAAAUCUAGUUAAUUAUUGAAAACAGAAGAUACUUAAGAUUUAACAAAUUUUUUAUAACCCGCCAACUUCACGACUUGAAAAAAAUACUUGUUAAUUUUUUGGAGAAAAAACCAGCAGCAACAUGGGAAAAAAGAAAAGAAAAACAGAACUUAGUAGCAUCCUACCAUUGAUUGAACGUUUCAAUUAAAAAUAUAAAUUUGGCUCUAAUGAAGGUAACUCUGGAAUGAGGACAAGUCUAAUAAAGAUUAUUUCAUUUUUCUUUUUUAGACAUUUGGUAUCAUCAUUUAACCACAAAUUCAAUUGUUAAUUUUUUUUAUUAUAUAAGAUUAUUGUUCAUAUUACAACUCAUAUUAGAGGGAUGUCAACUCCACUCACAUUUCAAAAGAGAAAAAAUUGCCUUCACUCAAUUUUGAAGAAGAAAUUAAACUCUCACAAUAUUAUUGUGGGGGUUCAAAAGAGUUGCUCUAAUCACGCGGCCAAAGAUUAAAUAAUUGUUAUUUUUAUUCAGUUUACAAAUGACAACGCUCCCCCUUUUAUGGGCUUUCAGUGUUUAAGCCUAGAGCCUGGCCCACUGAGAAUCCAUGAAAAAAGUAAGCAUUGAUGGACGAACAGAAAAAUUGACUUGCUGCAUUGUUAAAACUUGAAAAUUAAAACCCAACCAAUCUUAGUUCACAAUAUUGUACGAAUCUACGGGGUACGGCACAUGAGCCAGCCCAGGCCAGCUAGUAAUUAACACACAUUUUUAGCCAUCUCUUCUUCUUCAGCAUAUCAUUUGAAUUUUGAUCAUCAAGAUGCCAAGACAGUUAUUCUUCAGCUCAACUUAAUUUCCGUUAAUUAAUAACAAACACUUUCAUCUAAAUCCAUAUAUGUGCUUAAAGUCCAGCCAAAAGAAGUUCAAAUUAUCAGAUCAGCCAUGCUCUUUCAGCUUCUAAUCUGAUGUAAUUUCCUCUUUUCAUCCUCCCAUUAUUUAUUUUCAUCCUCAUUACACAAAAUACAAAAACGAACAAAUCAAGGUUCUUGAGUAGUACCGACAACUUUGUCACAGUUAGAUUUUUGGAAAUGCAAACGAGGAAGAAGAUUUCCACUGUUUUUAUUGAAUUUAGUUUUUUAGUACAAUUACAAUAAUGGCUAUGCUUAAUAUUUAUAGACGUAGCUUACUAGCUUAUUCACCAAGCACAUCACUAAGCUUUAUUUACAACUUUACCUGCAUAACAGAAUAACAAAUUCCAAAUCUAAUAAACCAUUUAUUAAUAGCUAGCAAACUCAUCAACUUACCAACUACUACUUUUGUGAGCCCAGGAAGAUCAAUUAGCGCCAAGUUGACAACUAUCAAUGCGAUAAAAAAUCAUAGACAAUUUCAGAAUUCACGGGCAAUGGAAAAAGUAAAAUAAAACUACUAUUGAAAUAACACUCUGCAAUUUUUUGGAAAAGAAAACAAUAAUCAUCGAAAAUUUAAGUAGCUUUACUACUUAAGGGUGCAUAACACUAUGCAAUUUUUGGAAAGAAAACAAUAAUCAUAAAUAAAAAAUCAAGCAUAUUUUACCAACCUCUCUGAUAGUAUGAGCUAAUUACAAGCUUUGCAUGGUUGAUAUAUCCUAAAUAUAUGAACUAUUUUUCACACCAAGCACAGAGCACAUAAUUAGGCUAUAUGAUGGACUUUGCAAGCUACUCUUGCCGUAAAGAACAAAAAUCCAAAUAUAUAAAUGUGAAGGGCUGACAAUUAGCAAAUACAUGCAUUUGAAAACCCCAUAAAGCAUUUCCCAUUAGCAUAUAAUAGGCUCCAUAAAUACAUAGCAUCACAUAAAUACAGAGCGUAAAUUUGGCUCCAUAAAUACAUAGCAUCACAUACGUUUUAGGUUGCAAAAAUUCCAAAUAUCUUGAUAUAGUGACUAAAUCCAAAUAUCAUAGAGCAAAUUCACCGUGAACAUGAAAAGACUGUUCAACAUGCUGGGCAUCGAAUUUUUUCAAUACGUAUUCACCAUUAACAUGAAUAGACUUAACAAAUCAGCAAGAAAUUUACCUGAUCAACAUGCUGGGCAUCACCAGGCAUACAUACUUUCAUCUUAAGAUGAAAGUGGAGAUUGCCACCUCAUUCGAUAGUUUACUCACAUCAGCUACACAAAUAGAGUUAAACGAUAAUUAAUAUUGGGAAACAAACCAAUUCUAAAAUCAAUGAGAAAAGCAUAAUAUGGGGAAACAGAGCAAUGGAAUAACACAAAAACACAAUAAAAGAAUCAUCAAAUCAAAUUUCAAUAAAAAUUACCUUGAUUGAUCAAAUGGCAGCGAAGGUGGCGAUGGUUGGUCAAGUCCGGCGAAAAAUGAGAGUGCCAAUGAGAAAGGGUUAGCGGUUUGGAGGUGCAUAACGGCCGGCAAGGGGAAGCUCCAUUGGGGCUCGGAGGUGGCGAUAGGACCGAUAGUGUUUUGAGAGAGACGACUUUAGAUCCAGGUUUUUGUUAUAUUUCUUUUAUUGUGUUCAGUAUUUUUUUUAAUUAUUUGAUUAAAAUAAAAAAAAUAUUUUGAUUUUAAAAAAACUUAUAGCUCGGAUUCGGGUUCGGGGCCUGAUAAAUCUCCAAAUCCAAACCCGAAAUAUAUUUAGGGCUUAGAUUUAUCCCAAUUCAGGCCCAUUUUUAAUUCUAAAGAUUUUCAGGAGUCCCGACCCGAAUUGAUCAGGGCCCCGCAGGGAAUGUUGCCAACACUAUCAACGGUUAAAUCUUCAUCAUCUCAAAACACACGAGAGAGAAUAUCAUAAGAUGAUAAUGAAUUUGAUAAUUAAUUCUCCAUACAUUUUUUACUAUUUUAUACCGGAAAAAGCAUAUUCCAAAAAAUAAUAAUGAACAAGAAAACAGUGAAUGAACUUAAAAUGCGCACGUAUAAUAUAAGUCAUUGGUCAACGGUCAGCGUCAAGACUAACUGUGUCUACUCCAAGUGGCCACGCUGCCACCACAUCUAUAUAUCUAUAUGUAAGAGAGAUUGUAAAAUCUUUCAAGUUUUUUGGUUUGAUAUUUUGGACGAAAACGGUUUGCCGUUUAUUGAGAAAACGGCUAACCGUUUAAGUCCAGAGAGCAUGUUUUCUGUUCUUGGUAAAACAGCGUACCGUUUAUGGAGAAAACGGCUAACCGUUUAACUCCAGAGAGCAUGUUUUAUGGUCUAGAGAAAACGGCUCACCGGUUAUUGAGAAAACGGUUAACCGUUUAUGUAUCGAGAGCAACAUAUUUGACAUUCUGGAAUAAAACGGCUCACCGUUUAUUGAGAAAAUGGUUAACCGUUUAUUUCUAGAAAGGCGUCAACUAGAAACAGUUGACAAGCUUAAAAAUUUCAAGUGUUAAUCGUUGCAAAUUUAAACCAAAAGAGUUUUUUGAAGAAGUACCAUUUCGAAUGGUUGCAUUCUUUUGAAUUAACAUCUUCUUCAUAAAGGAAACAUAUACAAUUAUAUUAAUAUCAGAUUUUGCAGGUUUCAUAUAUGUUUUGGAAAUACAAUCUUAUUUGCUAGAGAUUGUAUUCAGGAUUUGAUAUAUCUUGGGGGUAAUUUACCAUUAAAACUUUAUAACAAACCAAGAUUGGUGAGGGCAAAUAAAACCUUAAAGGAAAGUGUGCAAACACGUCUCAAAUCCUAAGAAAACUUCUUUGUUCUUUGCCUCCAUAUUCUUAUUAUUUUCUAACACUAUAUGCACAUAAAUCUUAUUAGGAACGCUGUUUUGUAAAUCAUUUAUCAUAUUUGUUCAAUGUAUCCAAGAUUGUAACGAGUUGUUGAUCAUCAUGAACUCAUCUAAUUACCCAAAUCAGAAGUUUGAUCAUCAGCACGUGGCAAUCGGCUUACCAGCAGCUGGUUUUCAGCAGCAACAUGGGCAUGUGCAUCAGCCCACAGUGGGACCUUGGUCCUCAGGACUCUGUGACUGCUGCUCCGACUGCUCAACUUGUAAGUUCCCUUCAAAACUAAAGUGUAAUUUACGUACUUUUUUUUUCACUCCGUUAAUAUACGAUUGACGUUCGUGAUACUGACACACACUGGUUAGCAUUAGUAUGUUGUGACUACAAAUUAGCUUAUGCUGAUGAAGAACAGAUCGAGGCUGGCUACUGAAAGUUUUUAUUAAUUAAUUUAUUUGUUUCUUUGAAUUAAUUAACAGGUUGCUUGACAUAUUGGUGUCCCUGCAUCACUUUUGGUCGAAUUGCUGAGACUGUUGACAAAGGAUCUUCUUGUAAGUGAUCUGUUCCCAAAAUUAACUAUACAUAUAGUUUUUAGUUUUAGUUGAUUUUAUUAAAUUUUAAAGAUUUAUUAAUGUGAUUGGUCACAAAAUUGGUCUGCUUGCAGCUUGUGGUGUGAACGGCGCACUUUAUUUUAUAAUAGCUUGGCUGACUGGCUGCGCUUGCUUAUACUCGUGCGGCUAUCGAUCUAAAAUGAGGCACCAGUACAUGUUAAAAGACAGCCCUUGCGGGGAUUGCUUGGUUCAUUUUUUCUGCGAGUCGUGCGCCUUGUGUCAAGAAUAUCGCGAGCUCAAAUCCCGUGGAUUCGACAUGGCUCUCGGUAAUUAAUUUAAUUCUCUGAUGAUGACCCUUUAUUAAAUUAUUAAAUCAUUGUUUAAAUUAGUUUCC